GUAAAGCUAGAGUUCCGUCUGUAUGGUAGGAAAAAUUCUAGAAUGCAACGGGUAUAUUAGUGACGUGGCGUAACAAACUAAUCAAAUUAAUCCUUUUAAGAAUAUAUGUCCCAUCAUGAUUGUAAAAAAAUAUUUUUAUUGUACUUUUGUUUAAAAAGAAGGAAUGUGAUUGGCUUGUUAUUGAUGACGUGGUACAAGUGUGACAGUGUAGAAUUCCUCCCAAGAAAGGGUGUAGGCCCCAU
Molecule: long non-coding RNA, 242 nt
Filed under: Ananas comosus (pineapple)
Lineage: Eukaryota; Viridiplantae; Streptophyta; Magnoliopsida; Poales; Bromeliaceae
Description: long non-coding RNA (ACOM_LNC024830)
Source: RNAcentral